UGCCGACAAGUCGAAGAAUCGAGUUCCGGAAGGAGCGAGCUAUCCCGCCUCGGCUACAGGACAGCAAUACGUGAUAUUUGGAUGCGAUAGCCAACGAUUCUCGCCGACUAUGAUCCUGCUCGAGGUACCAUGGUUAUUCGUAUCACGGCUACGCCAUUUGGGAAGCAACUCAGGAAUAUGUAAAUGUUGAGGUCAAAGCGACGGUUAAUAGCAUCUAUAUCAGGUGUUUAUGUUUCGUAUUAGAUUAGACUCGCGAUCUUACGUUUAUUUUUGAAGAUUUGAGUUCUUGGAUUUUCGAUUUUAUUGUAUUUGUUUUCAAGAAUUAUAAGCUAGGUUAGGUUGAUUGUUGCAUUGCCUGAAGCUUUGGGAGGUUCGACGGAUGAAUGAAUCCAUUACGAAUCGCAUGUUUUCUCAGAGGAAUCUUAGUUACUUGAUGAUUAAUCAGAUUCAAUGAUUUGCGACAUUACUGAAGAUUCUUCCAUUAUAUGUUAUUGUGUGUAUUUGUUGUAGUGGAUGAAUGCUACAAGAUGGGAGAUGCGGCGAAACCAUUUGGUAGAACUCUUUGAUUUCUUUUGCAGGCGGGACAUACUGCUUAAGCCAGUCCGGAAGAGGCAGAACAAGUGAUUCAUUGAUGCAUUCAGAUGAUUCGCACAGUUUGAACGUUACAGGUUUAAGCAUUUACCCUCGACAAAGAGGUCGGAGGCUUCGACCCUCCAACUCCACACGUUGAAUCAAAAAAGAAUAGAAAGGAAGCAAUUUGGCAUGUCAUUUGUCUUGGGCAUUUGAAUGCAGGGUAGCAAGGAAUUGCUUGAGACACCUAUUGUAGACGCAAGGUCGUUCCAAGUGAACCAAGUGACCCGACUUCGGUAUGCUUUGAAACGUUGCAUUGUCGCCGAGGUCCCUACAUUUAGCAUUAUUCGAAACAGAACUUAGGAUUCAAUUUCAAAUGAAUACUUAGUUAACUUUUAAUGGAAUGAAAUGAUACGUACUCUUGUAGUUUUCGGGCAAGCUCGACAUUGAAAAUCUGAUCAUUUAGGCCCCAUAAAAGAUGUAUCUUCUGCAAAGAGAUGGAUGAAGAAUCAUAAGCAGUCUUCCAAGUGAAGGAAUUA
Long non-coding RNA from Cucurbita moschata (crookneck pumpkin), 1109 nucleotides. RefSeq lists it as uncharacterized. The transcript has 3 exons. The record is from RefSeq and is a predicted model, not a curated record. Lineage: Eukaryota; Viridiplantae; Streptophyta; Magnoliopsida; Cucurbitales; Cucurbitaceae.